RNAcentral lists this long non-coding RNA (212 nucleotides) under Sus scrofa (pig). Its description in RNAcentral is "lncRNA (ENSSSCG00045003241.1)". Lineage: Eukaryota; Metazoa; Chordata; Mammalia; Artiodactyla; Suidae. The record is from RNAcentral.
AAGUAGCGCGUGAGCUUGGCCUCAGGCUGCUUUCUGGAGAACCCAGGCGACGGUGAGACCUUCUGACCCUUUACCUUCCAUCCUUCAGUCUGCUGCGCGCUGUUACUUCGCUUCAGGUUCCUGGGGAAGCAGUGCGGCCUCAGCGAGGGAGGAGUUUCAGGAGGGUGAGGACGGUGUUGUUACAUAGAUGAAAUGUUUCAGGAAGAAGUCCU